AAUAGAUACCCGGGUAGUCCACGCCGUAAACGAUGAGUGCUAAGUGUUAGAGGGUUUCCGCCCUUUAGUGCUGCAGCUAACGCAUUAAGCACUCCGCCUGGGGAGUACGGCCGCAAGGCUGAAACUCAAAGGAAUUGACGGGGGCCCGCACAAGCGGUGGAGCAUGUGGUUUAAUUCGAAGCAACGCGAAGAACCUUACCAGGUCUUGACAUCCUCUGCCAACCCUAGAGAUAGGGCGUUCCCCUUCGGGGGACAGAGUGACAGGUGGUGCAUGGUUGUCGUCAGCUCGUGUCGUGAGAUGUUGGGUUAAGUCCCGCAACGAGCGCAACCCUUGAUCUUAGUUGCCAGCAUUCAGUUGGGCACUCUAAGGUGACUGCCGGUGACAAACCGGAGGAAGGUGGGGAUGACGUCAAAUCAUCAUGCCCCUUAUGACCUGGGCUACACACGUGCUACAAUGGAUGGUACAAAGAGUUGCGAACCCGCGAGGGUAAGCCAAUCUCAUAAAAGCCAUUCUCAGUUCGGA
This 523-nucleotide ribosomal RNA is filed under the name uncultured bacterium. Its description in RNAcentral is "bacterial SSU rRNA". It matches the Rfam family "Bacterial small subunit ribosomal RNA", at positions 777 to 1297 of the family's 1533-position model. The record is from RNAcentral.